Molecule: long non-coding RNA, 629 nt
Filed under: Olea europaea (common olive)
Lineage: Eukaryota; Viridiplantae; Streptophyta; Magnoliopsida; Lamiales; Oleaceae
Description: long non-coding RNA (OEUR_LNC000218)
Source: RNAcentral
UUUAACUUCAUAGGCUAUAAGCCUAAUAUUGAAGAACAUAUUGGACCCACACCACAAUUGAUGUAACCCAAUUAUAUUGGGUAUUUGGAGGAAAUCAGCCCAUUGGGCUAGAUGCUCAAUACCCGACUAUGGAGAUAAAUGAAAUCACAAAAGAUAGAAUUGGUUGCAAAUAAUUAUCUUGUGAUAAUUAUCCUAUCCCUACUGUUUCUGUUGGACUCAAAUUUAAACUUACCUGUUAUCUUGGAGAUUUGAUUUCCCUCGUGAUAAUAUACAAGAGUUUUAAUAUAUCCAAACACUCAACCAAUUUGAAUUAAAUAGAGAAGCCGGCUGCCUUCUUCUUCCAAGCGUGAGAACUUUUCCUCCUUCUCUGUGAAAACCCAAGUCGACCUUUGUGGUGUGCCUUUGUGUGCCUUUUCUUCUUCGUGAAUGAAAAAGUCUCCCAAUUGAAGUUACCUUUGUGGUGUUGGGUCGAAGAUUUCUGAGCCGAAUUAAAAAGGGGAUUUCGUUUCAUUUUCUUCCAUUUUAGUUCACUGCUUCAUUUGAUUUUUUGAACUCCAUUACAUUUAUUUAGAUUUAAUCCUUCAUUAACCAUUGUUGUGUGGUUGCAGGUUGGAUUAACAACAACAGUU